GUGACGGCUCCCUCUUUUCUGACGCACCCAGCCGGGAGCGCGGGGCUGUAUAUAAGGAGGGGACGCGCUGCCUGCCUGACACUUCACUCGGCAGCCAGGACGGCAAGAGCCAGGAGAGAGUAGAGCCCUGAGAUUUCCAGAGAUGAACCUGAUGCUUCAAGUCACCGUCCUCAGCCUCCUGUGCCUGCUGGGGCCGGGCUGGGCUGAGAACAGAUCCCUGCUGAGGGAGAGAUGGAGCGCGCUGGGCCUGCCGCAGAACAGAGAGCUGUUCCUAAGUGCCCUGCAGAGUUAUUUCCGCAGCAGAGGGAUCCACAUAGAGAAGACUGCGCCGGCCUUCGAGUUGCCCAUGAGGAAUCACAACCUGGGGGACCAGGAAGAACGAGAGCUGGUGGCCCUGGAGACCGGGGUAGAUGACUAGGAAGAGCCAAUGGCAGGUAGAGUCUUGGCAACAUAAGCUCUUCUGUCUCUGAGUACUUCACAGGAAUGCACUGACUCUCUCCUGCCACUUCACUGCUGUGAGUGUGUACACACAGACACACACACGUGACCUGUUUAUAUUUGUGAGGCUCUGCCUGCAAUACUGAGCUGUAGGGUGUGGAGCCAAUAAAUUCUCCUCUUUAACGUUUGUCCUGUCACCUUCUUUGUGAAUACCAGCAAUCAACAAGCUGCCCUUUGGCUGGGUCUCCACACGCGUGACUCAUGCUGCUUCCUCCAUCCUCCAGAUCAGCCUAGGAUUCAGCAAGAAGGAUUCGC
Molecule: long non-coding RNA, 753 nt
Organism: Pelodiscus sinensis (Chinese soft-shelled turtle)
Lineage: Eukaryota; Metazoa; Chordata; Testudines; Trionychidae
Source: RefSeq, a predicted model, not a curated record